This 998-nucleotide ribosomal RNA is filed under the name Kocuria palustris. Its description in RNAcentral is "bacterial SSU rRNA". It matches the Rfam family "Bacterial small subunit ribosomal RNA", at positions 59 to 1064 of the family's 1533-position model. Lineage: Bacteria; Bacillati; Actinomycetota; Actinomycetes; Micrococcales; Micrococcaceae. The record is from RNAcentral.
AAGUCGAACGCUGAAGCACCAGCUUGCUGGUGUGGAUGAGUGGCGAACGGGUGAGUAAUACGUGAGUAACCUGCCCUUGACUCUGGGAUAAGCCCGGGAAACUGGGUCUAAUACUGGAUGCUACAUGUCACCGCAUGGUGGUGUGUGGAAAGGGUUUACUGGUCUUGGAUGGGCUCACGGCCUAUCAGCUUGUUGGUGAGGUAAUGGCUCACCAAGGCGACGACGGGUAGCCGGCCUGAGAGGGUGACCGGCCACACUGGGACUGAGACACGGCCCAGACUCCUACGGGAGGCAGCAGUGGGGAAUAUUGCACAAUGGGCGAAAGCCUGAUGCAGCGACGCCGCGUGAGGGAUGACGGCCUUCGGGUUGUAAACCUCUUUCAGCAGGGAAGAAGCCACAAGUGACGGUACCUGCAGAAGAAGCGCCGGCUAACUACGUGCCAGCAGCCGCGGUAAUACGUAGGGCGCAAGCGUUGUCCGGAAUUAUUGGGCGUAAAGAGCUCGUAGGCGGUUUGUCGCGUCUGCUGUGAAAGCCCGGGGCUUAACCCCGGGUGUGCAGUGGGUACGGGCAGACUAGAGUGCAGUAGGGGAGACUGGAAUUCCUGGUGUAGCGGUGGAAUGCGCAGAUAUCAGGAGGAACACCGAUGGCGAAGGCAGGUCUCUGGGCUGUUACUGACGCUGAGGAGCGAAAGCAUGGGGAGCGAACAGGAUUAGAUACCCUGGUAGUCCAUGCCGUAAACGUUGGGCACUAGGUGUGGGGGACAUUCCACGUUUUCCGCGCCGUAGCUAACGCAUUAAGUGCCCCGCCUGGGGAGUACGGCCGCAAGGCUAAAACUCAAAGGAAUUGACGGGGGCCCGCACAAGCGGCGGAGCAUGCGGAUUAAUUCGAUGCAACGCGAAGAACCUUACCAAGGCUUGACAUAUACCGGAUCGUUCCAGAGAUGGUUCUUCCCCUUUGGGGUCGGUAUACAGGUGGUGCAUGGUUGUCGUCAGCUCGUG